GGCCCCAUAGUUAAAUGGAUAUAACGAGCCCUUCCUAAGGGUUAAUUCUUGGUUCGAUUCCAGGUGGGGCCGCCA
This 75-nucleotide transfer RNA is filed under the name bacterium. RNAcentral's name for it is "tRNA-Arg". It matches the Rfam family "tRNA". Rfam says of the family: Transfer RNA (tRNA) molecules are approximately 80 nucleotides in length. Their secondary structure includes four short double-helical elements and three loops (D, anti-codon, and T loops). The record is from RNAcentral.